UUAAAAAAAUUUUAUCUAUUUAUACUGUUAAAAAUUGAUGUGGUUGACAGAAUAAUCGGAUAAUGACACGUGGCAUGCCAUAUGUAUUUCAUGCUGACAUAUAGAGACCAAUUUUUAAUAGCAAAAAUGAAUGAAACUUUUA
Non-coding RNA from Gossypium raimondii (Peruvian cotton), 142 nucleotides. NCBI's taxonomy places the organism in Eukaryota, Viridiplantae, Streptophyta, Magnoliopsida, Malvales, Malvaceae. The record is from Rfam.